This 253-nucleotide ribosomal RNA is filed under the name uncultured bacterium. RNAcentral describes it as "partial 16S ribosomal RNA". It matches the Rfam family "Bacterial small subunit ribosomal RNA", at positions 524 to 776 of the family's 1533-position model. The record is from RNAcentral.
UACGGGGGGGGCAAGCGUUGUUCGGAAUUACUGGGCGUAAAGGGCGCGUAGGCGGCCUUCUAAGUCGGACGUGAAAUCCCUCGGCUCAACCGGGGAACUGCGUUCGAUACUGGAGGGCUUGAAUCCGGGAGAGGGAUGUGGAAUUCCAGGUGUAGCGGUGAAAUGCGUAGAUAUCUGGAGGAACACCGGUGGCGAAGGCGGCAUCCUGGACCGGCAUUGACGCUGAGGAGCGAAAGCCAGGGGAGCAAACGGG